Molecule: ribosomal RNA, 620 nt
Filed under: Paenibacillus sp. I12B-00709
Lineage: Bacteria; Bacillati; Bacillota; Bacilli; Caryophanales; Paenibacillaceae
Description: bacterial SSU rRNA
Rfam family: Bacterial small subunit ribosomal RNA
Source: RNAcentral
GGUGAGUAACACGUAGGCAACCUGCCUGUAAGACUGGGAUAACUAUCGGAAACGAUAGCUAAGACCGGAUAGCUGGUUCUCUCGCAUGAGGGAAUCAUGAAACACGGGGUAACCUGUGGCUUACAGAUGGGCCUGCGGCGCAUUAGCUAGUUGGUAGGGUAACGGCCUACCAAGGCGACGAUGCGUAGCCGACCUGAGAGGGUGAUCGGCCACACUGGGACUGAGACACGGCCCAGACUCCUACGGGAGGCAGCAGUAGGGAAUCUUCCGCAAUGGACGCAAGUCUGACGGAGCAACGCCGCGUGAGUGAUGAAGGUUUUCGGAUCGUAAAGCUCUGUUGCCAGGGAAGAACGCCUUAGAGAGUAACUGCUCCAAGGGUGACGGUACCUGAGAAGAAAGCCCCGGCUAACUACGUGCCAGCAGCCGCGGUAAUACGUAGGGGGCAAGCGUUGUCCGGAAUUAUUGGGCGUAAAGCGCGCGCAGGCGGUCACUUAAGUUUGGUGUUUAAGCCCGGGGCUCAACCCCGGAUCGCACUGAAAACUGGGUGACUUGAGUGCGGGAGAGGAAAGUGGAAUUCCACGUGUAGCGGUGAAAUGCGUAGAGAUGUGGAGGAACACCAG